UACGAAGGGUGCAAGCGUUACUCGGAAUUACUGGGCGUAAAGCGUGCGUAGGCGGUUCGUUAAGUCUGUCGUGAAAGCCCUGGGCUCAACCUGGGAAUUGCGAUGGAUACUGGCGAGCUAGAGUACGGUAGAGGAUGGUGGAAUUCCCGGUGUAGCGGUGAAAUGCGCAGAUAUCGGGAGGAACACCAAUGGCGAAGGCAGCUCGCUGGGACGGUACUGACGCUGAGACGCGAAAGCGUGGGGAGCAAACAGG
This 253-nucleotide ribosomal RNA is filed under the name uncultured bacterium. Its description in RNAcentral is "partial 16S ribosomal RNA". It matches the Rfam family "Bacterial small subunit ribosomal RNA", at positions 524 to 776 of the family's 1533-position model. The record is from RNAcentral.